RNAcentral lists this ribosomal RNA (109 nucleotides) under bacterium HR11. The record is from RNAcentral.
GUGCCCAUAGCGGCGGGGAAACGCCCGUUCCCAUUCCGAACACGGAAGCUAAGCCCGCCAGCGCCGAUGAUACUGCGGGGGCAACCCCGUGGGAAAGUAGGUCGGUGCC